AAAUUGAUCAACCUGCAUUGAUUCCGCAUAUAUCUGAAGCCAGCUCCUUAAAGUAUGCUUAUGAGGUCCUUUUCCGGAGCUUACACAAGCUGCUUAUGGAUACUGCAACUUCUGAGUAUCUUUUCUGUGAUGAUUUCUUCAGGAAGAAUCUAUAUUUUAUGAAAUUUUCGCAGGUGGCAAUUUAAUUUCUGCUAGAACUUCUGUGUCAGCCAUCACAAUUUCAGAUUUUAGUAGUACUGGUAUUAUUGAGACUGGCUUAGGAUCAGUUUUGGCUUCUACAAUGAAAGAAAGCACAACCAAAGAGGCAAGUACAGAUGCUUCUUAGGACACUUUCAAAGUAGCUAUUCUCACAGUAAGUGAUACAGUUGCAUCGGCAACUGGGCCUGAUCGAAGGUACUAAAUCUGUGUAUAUGCGUGCUCUCUGUCUCUCUCUCUUUUAUUUCCUUUUUUAAUGCUUCCUGUGUAUAUAUAGUUAUUCAUCCAUCCAGUUUAGAUAUGUUAAAAAAGCAAAACAAAGAAAAGGCAUCUAGGUACACCUUUUUGACUCAGUAGGUUUAAAAAUCUUUAUGGAUGCUACAGUGAUAGAGCAGAGCUGAUGUUCUGCCUUAUAUGAGUUAGAUAUGGAACAUUAUAUAGCAAACAGUGGAUUAUUAGAAUCUUUAUGUCCUUGGAUGACUCAAUCUUUGGGAUCAUCUUCUCUAAGGUGUCCUUAAUUGGGAAUGCAAAGAUCAUUACCUAAACUUAAUAGCAUCUGGAUACACCUCUUUGAAUCAUUGUUUCAGAAGGGUCACUUCCUUGAUGCCAUAGUAAAAAGCCAAGCUGAUGUUACUCCUUGUCAAAGUGAAACAUGGAAAGUACUAAAUGCUAUACAACAGUAUUCUGGAAAUAGUAUGGCAAUCAUCAAGUCAUCUUGGUGGUGUUCUUUCUUAUUUUUGCUUCUAUUGUGCUUGUAUUAGAACUUACUUGUGAGCAUUGAACUAUAAAUAAUCUGACAACACUUUAGAACUAUCCUUUUUUGUAAUGCUUGACUAUUUGAAGAAUUGACCAAACUUGAAAUCUUUUUGAAAGCAUUAAUGACCAUUUAACUAAAGGCCUUUGGUUGUG
Molecule: long non-coding RNA, 1104 nt
Organism: Pistacia vera
Lineage: Eukaryota; Viridiplantae; Streptophyta; Magnoliopsida; Sapindales; Anacardiaceae
Exons: 3
Source: RefSeq, a predicted model, not a curated record